RNAcentral lists this ribosomal RNA (317 nucleotides) under Clostridioides difficile. RNAcentral's name for it is "bacterial LSU rRNA". It matches the Rfam family "Bacterial large subunit ribosomal RNA", at positions 1793 to 2109 of the family's 2925-position model. The record is from RNAcentral. Lineage: Bacteria; Bacillati; Bacillota; Clostridia; Peptostreptococcales; Peptostreptococcaceae.
CAAGCGACUGUUUACCAAAAACAUAGGUUUCUGCUAAGUCGCAAGACGAUGUAUAGGAGCUGACGCCUGCCCGGUGCUGGAAGGUUAAGGGGAUCUGUUAGAGCAAUCGAAGCAGUGAACUUAAGCACCAGUAAACGGCGGCCGUAACUAUAACGGUCCUAAGGUAGCGAAAUUCCUUGUCGGGUAAGUUCCGACCCGCACGAAAGGCGUAACGAUUUGGGCACUGUCUCAACAACAGACUCGGUGAAAUUGUAAUUCCGGUGAAGAUGCCGGAUACCUGCGACAGGACGGAAAGACCCCAUGGAGCUUUACUGUAG